UCAACUGUGUCAGAAGAAACUAUAAAGAAAGUUUUGUAAAGAAGAAAAAUCAGAUUUGGAAAGGAAAAUAUUGCUAAUCUGCAUAGCAAGAAGGUGGAAAAAAGAAAGGCAAAAAUGGGUUCAUAAUUUUUUAGAGGUGCUCAAUUUAGAAGAUGAGGUAGGGGUUCAAAUACAAGACCCUGAAUUUUCUUUCUGGUAGCGAUAUGCCAGCCAUGCCAAUCAUCUUUCUAAAACAGAACAGUGUGGUAGUUUAUAACUUGUGGGGGGAAAGAAUAGAUAACCUCCCUUAGCCUUUUAGAAAAGCCAAGACAAGCUCCAGGAAAAGGAGUUAAAAGAAGCUACUUCCCCCGUCACCUUGGGUCACUGGAAAUACACAUGCAUGCCUAGGACAUGCGUAGAUGCUUUGGGGAGGCUGGAAACAUUAACCUUGAGUGCUGCUAAGGGGAGAACACUUCAAAGGCUAGGGCAGUGAGAGAACCAGAAGCCAAUCAGAGUGAAGAGGAUGUUUGAACAGAGAGAGAGGAAGCAUAUAAAGACUAAGGGUUUGGGGCUCCUCUCUCUCCACUGUCUCUGUUCUAUCCGACACCUAAAUCUGGGCAGCUCUUUCCAACUUCAGGAGGACAAGAGGAGAGUAGUGCGCAGCAUUCGGCAGCUUCUUUGGUGACCAGCUACAUCGUUUGGCAGCAGGCUCAAGUGCUCAAAACAGCACAGAGCAAGGAGCAUGCUGAACAGUGAUGUUCCAGUUUAAAAAGACAGAGCUGCAAACAAAGGUAGGCUUUUAUUUUGGAUAAUAUCCUUUCAACUGCACAAAAUCUCGUGUCCGACCACAUGCCAUUCACUGCUGCCAUGCUCACACAGUGCUGGGCGUGUGUCCUCACUCUUUUAUUCUUGAAUCCUGGGGGUUAGGGGGAUUUGAUGGCAGCAUUUUGUCCUAAGUUUCCUAUUUCUUUAAUUCACUCCUUGUUCCAUUUGCCUUUUUGCUUCGCUUUACCGCUUUUAGCAUCUAUCCCCUCCUUCUAUGUUUUAUUAAGAUGAUUAUUUUGGGCAGAUGGUUUGGCUCCCUGAACAUCGUAUUCAGUGUUUUCUUUUCAUGAGAGAAAACUUGUAAGAUUUCAGCCUUCACAUGGAGUACCGAAUACACCUCUCUCUGCCUUCCCACUGGCUCAGGGAAAGUAGCUGCCUACAAAGUAUGGUGAUGCUUCUUCUUCAGGCACUUGUCAUGAUUAAUUGCUCUACAUCUCUGAUUAAUUGAUUGAUUGAUUGAUUGAAACCUGUCUUCCUCACUGAACAUAGGCCACUAUAAGGACAAUGGCUACCUGUUUUGACCACUGUUGGGUCUCUAAUGCCUUUCAUAGUAGUUGACAUACAGCAGAUUUGCAGA
Molecule: long non-coding RNA, 1381 nt
Filed under: Sus scrofa (pig)
Lineage: Eukaryota; Metazoa; Chordata; Mammalia; Artiodactyla; Suidae
Description: lncRNA (ENSSSCG00070005656.1)
Source: RNAcentral